GUGUCAGCAGCCGCGGUAAUACGGAGGAGGCAAGCGUUAUCCGGAAUUAUUGGGCGUAAAGCGUCCGUAGGUGGUUUAGUAAGUCUGCUGUUAAAGCGCGGGGCUUAACUCCGUAUCGGCAGUGGAAACUACUAGACUAGAGUGUGGUAGGGGUAGAGGGAAUUCCCAGUGUAGCGGUGAAAUGCGUAGAUAUUGGGAAGAACACCGGUGGCGAAGGCGCUCUACUGGGCCAUAACUGACACUGAUGGACGAAAGCUAGGGGAGCGAAAGGGAUUAGAUACCCUCGUAGUCC
RNAcentral lists this ribosomal RNA (292 nucleotides) under uncultured bacterium. RNAcentral describes it as "partial 16S ribosomal RNA". It matches the Rfam family "Bacterial small subunit ribosomal RNA", at positions 505 to 796 of the family's 1533-position model. The record is from RNAcentral.